This 593-nucleotide long non-coding RNA is filed under the name Pongo abelii (Sumatran orangutan). RNAcentral describes it as "lincRNA". The record is from RNAcentral. Lineage: Eukaryota; Metazoa; Chordata; Mammalia; Primates; Hominidae.
AUAUUUGCCGUUGUGAUGCAGGCGUGUGUGUGUGGAGUCUGUGUGUGCUGGACAGAGCAGUGUGCCCCCUAAGGACCUCGGGGUCCCAGAGCUGUUGACAGGCUGCCUCACUGGACAUACAGAACCAGUAGGUGACGUCGCUCAACACAAAGCCUCCAAACGGCCCUGCCACGCCCCCUGCCACGCCCUGUGAGUGUAUCCGGGUCUCCUCGCAGUGGCUGUUUGAACGUAGCCCACCUUUUCUGAUGAUUAAGGUUCUCCGGCCCUUCACGGGGAUUAUGUCGUGAACCCUCUCACAGCAGCUAUGAGAGACUGCGGCGCUCCCCAGAUGAGGAAACCUGGUCCCCCAGCGCCAGCUCUGGGACAAACCAGCUUCUAUGUCAUGAGUACACUCAGGCAGCUCACUGGAGAGAUCUGCAUGGUAAAGCAAUGAGCCUCCUGCCAGUAGCCAUGUGGGGGGCAUCUUGGAGCCAGACCCUCCAGCCCCAGUCAAGCCUUCAGAUGCCUGCAGCCCUGACUGACAUUUCAACCACAAUUUUAUGAGAGAUUCUGAGCCAGAAUCACCCAGCUAAGCUGCUCCCAGGUUGCUGGGU